AACGCACAGCGAAAGGUGCUUGCACCUUUCAAGUGAGUGGCGAACGGGUGAGUAACACGUGGACAACCUACCUCAAGGCUGGGGAUAACAUUUGGAAACAGAUGCUAAUACCGAAUAAAACUUAGUGUCGCAUGACACAAAGUUAAAAGGCGCUUCGGCGUCACCUAGAGAUGGAUCCGCGGUGCAUUAGUUAGUUGGUGGGGUAAAGGCCUACCAAGACAAUGAUGCAUAGCCGAGUUGAGAGACUGAUCGGCCACAUUGGGACUGAGACACGGCCCAAACUCCUACGGGAGGCUGCAGUAGGGAAUCUUCCACAAUGGGCGAAAGCCUGAUGGAGCAACGCCGCGUGUGUGAUGAAGGCUUUCGGGUCGUAAAGCACUGUUGUAUGGGAAGAACAGCUAGAAUAGGAAAUGAUUUUAGUUUGACGGUACCAUACCAGAAAGGGACGGCUAAAUACGUGCCAGCAGCCGCGGUAAUACGUAUGUCCCGAGCGUUAUCCGGAUUUAUUGGGCGUAAAGCGAGCGCAGACGGUUUAUUAAGUCUGAUGUGAAAGCCCGGAGCUCAACUCCGGAAUGGCAUUGGAAACUGGUUAACUUGAGUGCAGUAGAGGUAAGUGGAACUCCAUGUGUAGCGGUGGAAUGCGUAGAUAUAUGGAAGAACACCAGUGGCGAANGCGGCUUACUGGACUGCAACUGACGUUGANGCUCGAAAGUGUGGGUAGCAAACAGGAUUAGAUACCCUGGUAGUCCACACCGUAAACGAUGAACACUANGUGUUANGAGGUUUCCGCCUCUUANUGCCGAAGCUAACGCAUUAAGUGUUCCGCCUGGGGAGUACGACCNCAAGGNUGAACUCNAGNAAAUU
This 864-nucleotide ribosomal RNA is filed under the name Leuconostoc mesenteroides. RNAcentral describes it as "bacterial SSU rRNA". It matches the Rfam family "Bacterial small subunit ribosomal RNA", at positions 65 to 911 of the family's 1533-position model. The record is from RNAcentral. Lineage: Bacteria; Bacillati; Bacillota; Bacilli; Lactobacillales; Lactobacillaceae.